CACGUAUUUAGCCGUCGCUUCUUCUGCAGGUACCGUCACUUGCUUCUUCCCUGCUGAAAGCACUUUACAGCCCGAAAGCCUUCUUCGUGCACACAGAAUUGCUGGAUCAGGGUUGCCCCCAUUGUCCAAUAUUCCCCACUGCUGCCUCCGUAGGAGUAAGGGCCGUAUCUCAGUCCCCUUGUGGCCGUUCACCCUCUCAGGCCGGCUACCUAUCGUCGCCUUGGUGAGCCGUUACCUCACCAACAAGCUAAUAGGACGCAAAGCUCUCCUGCAGCAUCGCUUUUCAUUGCCUGGCACAUGCGUGCCGGCAACCGUAUCAGGUGUUGUCAGUCGUUUCGUCUGUUAUCCUGUCUGCAGGGCAAGUUCUUACGCGCUACUCACCGUCCGCCUUGGCUAGCCUGCGCAAGCGCAGAUUCGCCAAAGACUUGCAUGUGUUAAGCAUUCUGUCAGCCGUUCAUCCUGACGUCCGAGGUACUAACCG
Molecule: ribosomal RNA, 481 nt
Filed under: uncultured Leptotrichia sp.
Lineage: Bacteria; Fusobacteriati; Fusobacteriota; Fusobacteriia; Fusobacteriales; Leptotrichiaceae
Description: partial 16S ribosomal RNA
Source: RNAcentral